This 468-nucleotide ribosomal RNA is filed under the name uncultured bacterium. RNAcentral's name for it is "partial 16S ribosomal RNA". It matches the Rfam family "Bacterial small subunit ribosomal RNA", at positions 28 to 507 of the family's 1533-position model. The record is from RNAcentral.
GACGAACGCUGGCGGCGUGCUUAACACAUGCAAGUCGAACGGAAAGGCCCUGCUUUUGUGGGGUGCUCGAGUGGCGAACGGGUGAGUAACACGUGAGUAACCUGCCCUUGACUUUGGGAUAACUUCAGGAAACUGGGGCUAAUACCGGAUAGGAGCUCCUGCUGCAUGGUGGGGGUUGGAAAGUUUCGGCGGUUGGGGAUGGACUCGCGGCUUAUCAGCUUGUUGGUGGGGUAGUGGCUUACCAAGGCUUUGACGGGUAGCCGGCCUGAGAGGGUGACCGGCCAAAUUGGGACUGAGAUACGGCCCAGACUCCUACGGGAGGCAGCAGUGGGGAAUAUUGCACAAUGGGCGGAAGCCUGAUGCAGCAACGCCGCGUGCGGGAUGACGGCCUUCGGGUUGUAAACCGCUUUCGCCUGUGACGAAGCGUGAGCGACGGUAAUGGGUAAAGAAGCACCGGCUAACUACGUG